AUACGUAGGGUGCAAGCGUUAAUCGGGAUUACUGGGCGUAAAGCGUGCGCAGGCGGUUUUGUAAGACAGAGGUGAAAUCCCCGGGCUCAACCUGGGAACUGCCUUUGUGACUGCAAGGCUAGAGUGCGGCAGAGGGGGAUGGAAUUCCGCGUGUAGCAGUGAAAUGCGUAGAUAUGCGGAGGAACACCGAUGGCGAAGGCAAUCCCCUGGGCCUGUACUGACGCUCAUGCACGAAAGCGUGGGGAGCAAACAGGAUUAGAUACCCUGGUAGUCCACGCCCUAAACGACGUCAACUGGUUGUUGGGUCUUCAUUGACUCAGUAACGAAGCUAACGCGUGAAGUUGACCGCCUGGGGAGUACGGCCGCAAGGUUGAAACUCAAAUGAAUUGGCGGGG
This 395-nucleotide ribosomal RNA is filed under the name uncultured bacterium. RNAcentral's name for it is "partial 16S ribosomal RNA". It matches the Rfam family "Bacterial small subunit ribosomal RNA", at positions 523 to 918 of the family's 1533-position model. The record is from RNAcentral.